Molecule: non-coding RNA, 23 nt
Filed under: Rattus norvegicus (Norway rat)
Lineage: Eukaryota; Metazoa; Chordata; Mammalia; Rodentia; Muridae
Source: RNAcentral
CUGAUGAUGAAAACUAAAUCCCA